Molecule: ribosomal RNA, 467 nt
Filed under: uncultured bacterium
Lineage: Bacteria
Description: partial 16S ribosomal RNA
Rfam family: Bacterial small subunit ribosomal RNA
Source: RNAcentral
ACGAACGCUGGCGGCGUGCUUAACACAUGCAAGUCGAACGGAAAGGCCCUGCUUUUGUGGGGUGCUCGAGUGGCGAACGGGUGAGUAACACGUGAGUAACCUGCCCUUGACUUUGGGAUAACUUCAGGAAACUGGGGCUAAUACCGGAUAGGAGCUCCUGCUGCAUGGUGGGGGUUGGAAAGUUUCGGCGGUUGGGGAUGGACUCGCGGCUUAUCAGCUUGUUGGUGGGGUAGUGGCUUACCAAGGCUUUGACGGGUAGCCGGCCUGAGAGGGUGACCGGCCACAUUGGGACUGAGAUACGGCCCAGACUCCUACGGGAGGCAGCAGUGGGGAAUAUUGCACAGUGGGCGGAAGCCUGAUGCAGCAACGCCGCGUGCGGGAUGACGGCCUUCGGGGUGUAAACCGCUUUCGCCUGUGACGAAGCGUGAGUGACGGUAAUGGGUAAAGAAGCACCGGCUAACUACGUG